Molecule: ribosomal RNA, 880 nt
Filed under: Photobacterium ganghwense
Lineage: Bacteria; Pseudomonadati; Pseudomonadota; Gammaproteobacteria; Vibrionales; Vibrionaceae
Description: bacterial SSU rRNA
Rfam family: Bacterial small subunit ribosomal RNA
Source: RNAcentral
GCAAGUCGAGCGGCAGCGACAACAUUGACCCUUCGGGGGAUUUGUUGGGCGGCGAGCGGCGGACGGGUGAGUAAUGCCUGGGAACAUGCCUUAGUGUGGGGGAUAACCAUUGGAAACGAUGGCUAAUACCGCAUAAUCUCUACGGAGCAAAGAGGGGGACCUUCGGGCCUCUCGCGCUAAGAUUGGCCCAGGUGGGAUUAGCUAGUAGGUGGGGUAACGGCUCACCUAGGCGACGAUCCCUAGCUGGUCUGAGAGGAUGAUCAGCCACACUGGAACUGAGACACGGUCCAGACUCCUACGGGAGGCAGCAGUGGGGAAUAUUGCACAAUGGGGGAAACCCUGAUGCAGCCAUGCCGCGUGUGUGAAGAAGGCCUUCGGGUUGUAAAGCACUUUCAGCAGUGAGGAAGGCGGUAUCGUUAACAGCGGUAUUGUUUGACGUUAGCUGCAGAAGAAGCACCGGCUAACUCCGUGCCAGCAGCCGCGGUAAUACGGAGGGUGCGAGCGUUAAUCGGAAUUACUGGGCGUAAAGCGCAUGCAGGCGGCUUGUUAAGCCAGAUGUGAAAGCCCGGGGCUCAACCUCGGAAUCGCAUUUGGAACUGGCAGGCUAGAGUCUUGUAGAGGGGGGUAGAAUUUCAGGUGUAGCGGUGAAAUGCGUAGAGAUCUGAAGGAAUACCGGUGGCGAAGGCGGCCCCCUGGACAAAGACUGACGCUCAGAUGCGAAAGCGUGGGGAGCAAACAGGAUUAUAUACCCUGGUAGUCCACGCCGUAAACGAUGUCUACUUGGAGGUUGGUGUUCUUGAACACUGGCCUUUCGGAGCUAACGCGUUAAGUAGACCGGCCUGGGGGAGUACGGUCGCAGAUUAAAACUCAAAUGAAUUGA